UACAGAGGGGGCAAGUGUUGUUCGGAAUUACUGGGCGUAAAGGGCGCGUAGGCGGCCUGCUAAGUCGAACGUGAAAUCCCUGGGCUCAACCCAGGAACUGCGUCCGAUACUGGCAGGCUUGAAUCCGGGAGAGGGAUGCGGAAUUCCAGGUGUAGCGGUGAAAUGCGUAGAUAUCUGGAGGAACACCGGUGGCGAAGGCGGCAUCCUGGACCGGUAUUGACGCUGAGGCGCGAAAGCCAGGGGAGCAAACGGG
This 253-nucleotide ribosomal RNA is filed under the name uncultured bacterium. Its description in RNAcentral is "partial 16S ribosomal RNA". It matches the Rfam family "Bacterial small subunit ribosomal RNA", at positions 524 to 776 of the family's 1533-position model. The record is from RNAcentral.